This is an unclassified non-coding RNA of Vombatus ursinus (common wombat), 306 nucleotides long. It matches the Rfam family "Metazoan signal recognition particle RNA". From Rfam's summary of the family: The signal recognition particle (SRP) is a universally conserved ribonucleoprotein. It is involved in the co-translational targeting of proteins to membranes. Lineage: Eukaryota; Metazoa; Chordata; Mammalia; Diprotodontia; Vombatidae. The record is from Ensembl.
GUUGGCAUUACAUCAUGUCAUGCCUAUCAUCCCUGCUACUGGGGAGGCUGAGGCUGGUGGAUCACUUGAACUCAGGAGUCCUGAACUACAGUUGGGCUAAAGCAAAUCAGGUGUCCAUAUAAAUCUGGUGCUAAUAUGGUGCACUCCCAAGGAUGGGGGAGGGCACCAGGUUGCCCAAGAGAAAACAAACCUGCACAGGUCAAAAACAGAGCAGAUUAAAGUUUCUGCUCUAAUCAGAAGUAGGAGUAGGUCUGUGAGUGGCCAGUACACCUCUCACCUGGGCAAGAUGGGGAAACCCAGCCUUGU